This 367-nucleotide unclassified non-coding RNA is filed under the name uncultured fungus. RNAcentral describes it as "partial contains small subunit ribosomal RNA, internal transcribed spacer 1, and 5.8S ribosomal RNA". The stretch from base 1 to 73 matches the Rfam family "Eukaryotic small subunit ribosomal RNA", at positions 1759 to 1831 of the family's 1831-position model. The record is from RNAcentral. Lineage: Eukaryota; Fungi.
GCAAACUUGGUCAUUUAGAGGAAGUAAAAGUCGUAACAAGGUUUCCGUAGGUGAACCUGCGGAAGGAUCAUUACUGAAGCAUUAGAAAGGUUGUUGCUGCCUUUAACAAAAGGAUUGUGCACACUUUUCAAACCUUCUCAACCACCUGUGCACUUUUGUUAGACUUGUUAAUAUCUCUCACUGAAAAAUGUGGACAGAUGAGCUUGCUUUGUUGUAGGGCUAGCUUUCAAUUUUAACAGUCUAUACCUUUCAUAUACACCUUUUGAAGUCUUAGAUUGUAUGUUUGUGGGUUGUAAUGACCUAUAACAAUUUAUAUACAACUUUCAGCAACGGAUCUCUAGGCUCUCGCAUCGAUGAAGAACGCAGC